UGCUGUGAAGAGAGAAGGUACACAUGAAGUGAUCCGUGCUGCUCAUAAGCUUCUGCAAGAAAGUAAUGAAGCCAAUAAGGGGUUUGAAGAUAUAAAGAUUCUGAGAGAAGAUUCCAACAUGUGUUGGAGGCUUGUGGUGUUAACAAGCCACUCUUGAAGAUGGGAGUCAAGGAAGGUGACUCUGUGAUUGUUCGAGAGGUGCGUAGAGCUUUUAUCCUCUUGAUGUGUCAACUUAGCUCACCAUGACUUUCUUAAACUCUCUCUCUCACACAUGUACACACGCAGAGACACGAAUGCACUCAAAGUAUGUUCUUUCAUAGAUUCUAGCAUGCAAACUUCCAUCACGGUUAGUUGCCACUAACAUUGGCGAGACCAUGUAAAUCAGGUAAGGUACAUUAUCAACUUUGAGUCCUUAACUGCCUCUGUUGAAGCCCACAAGCUUGUAACUGAUUCAACAGAGAUUCCAAUUUUUAAGUGGAUAACAACUCAUAUUUCUCAUGAUGCCCUAUUCUUUUCUCAAGCCAACCUCAUGUCCACCUGAAGAUUCUUUUAAUGAUUGUCAUCUUUUUAUAGAAUUUUAUUCUAGUCCAUUGUUCGCAGAAUUCUGAUUGGUCUAUCGAAUGUGAAGUUAUCAUUUGAUCCUACCAAAUGGAGUGGGAGUAAUCCUUCUGUUCUUAAUACCAAGAGUAUAGUGAUUGAGUUUCUUAGUAUCAUGACCAUAAUGAUAGAAUACCUACAUGGAGCAAAGUGACCACAAUUUAUUGCUCUUCUGCUUUUUGACAGAAAAGAGGACUUCUUCAGAGACAUAGUAAAGCUUUUCCUUGAAUAUUUGCACGUGAGCCACUAGCAUAAAACCAUCUCGCGUGUCCUGUUCUUGUUUAUAUAACUGUCAAUGCAUUGUGUACAACUUUCUUAUACCAAUGGCAUUGUUGCUUUUAUUGGGUGCUAACUAGCAGCUAUAGCGUAAUUUCUGAAAUUACUUUGGGUUACACACUUUAGCAAUCCUUUGUUAAUUUUUUCUGUAUGUUUGAGCUCUAAGGGGUUGAAGAAUUGCAUUGCAGGCUCUGAAGUAGCUUCAUGUGCAAUUUUCCACAUUGGGCAGAUCGUGGUUGCGGCAUAUUUCAUCCGACUGAAGGCAUGCAGGUUGCUACAGAUGUUCAGCAGUUGCUACAUAAAAUAACCAUGUAAAGUAAACAUAUGCCAUCUGGGAAGAUGUGAUGCUAGUUACCACUAGCAAAGGCAAAUGAAAGUGGAGAUCAAAGCUCUUUUGGCCCAAUCCUGUUGUCUGAUAAUGAGAUUACUUGAGAUUGAGAACGUAAAUCAUAGAUUCAGCACAAAAUGCUAGAGUUACAAAAUUGCAAAUGGUAGAUGUGACAAAAAGAUGGAUAUGCUAUCUUUAUGUCGACCUCUUCUUGAAUUUAUGUGGAAGUUACCCCUCUAACGAUCAUUGGAAAGAGCUAGCAGAACAAGAAUUCAGAUAUGUAACAACUUGCUUCCGUUGUGGAUCCUCCUCUCUGCUUUCUUGCCCCUGGAGGACUUUGGUGCUGCAAUCCAACCGGUACAGCCCUUCACAAUAGGAUGACAAUGUAUAUCCAUUGAUAAGGAUUUGUACUAUUCAUACCAAAACCCGAACCCAAAAUUACUAUCAAAUUCCUGACUUGAACUCGGACAGGUAUGGAUUUUCUAUAUAUGAACUUGAACCUGAUUGGUUCGGUACCCAUUGGGUAUCCACAACCCGAACCUGAAUGUUAAACUUAUAACUAUUUAGUACAUGAUUAGCUUGUUAUAUAUGUAAUCUUUUCAAAAUUUGAGAUUAUUAUUUUUUAUUUCAGGUUGGGUUCGGGUAAUAUUCAUUCUGAACCUGAAACCUAAUAUUUUA
Molecule: long non-coding RNA, 1879 nt
Organism: Populus euphratica (Euphrates poplar)
Lineage: Eukaryota; Viridiplantae; Streptophyta; Magnoliopsida; Malpighiales; Salicaceae
Exons: 3
Source: RefSeq, a predicted model, not a curated record